AGUAUACAAGCUGAAACAUGUCAUUUAAAUUUUUGAUUACAGGUAAAAACAAAACAAAAAAACUGCAGGAUUAACCGAUAUAUAAGCAAAUAAACGUAACUGAUGAGGAGCAAUUGGAUCUAUGUGACUAUCCUGGGGAUAGCAUGCCUGAUGAUUGGAGUCAAUGGGGACAAUACAACAAGUAGUAGCAACUCCACAGGAGGCUGGAUAUCUUCUAACAUGACCACGAACAUAACCCAGGCACUCCCACUCAGCAUGACCUCAAACCAAACCCAGACACGGCCUCCCAACAUAACCAACAUCCCGCCCCUAACACGGCCUCCUAACAUAACCACCACCCUGAACCAAACACGGCCUUCCAACAUAACCAACAUCCCGCCCCUAACACGGCCUCCUAACAUAACCACCACCCUGAACCAAACACAGCCUUCUAACAUAACCAACAUCCCGCCCCUAACACGGCCUCCUAACAUAACCACCACCCUGAACCAAACACGCCCUCUCAACAUAACCAACAUCCCGCCCCUAACACGGCCUCCAAACAUAACCACCACCCUGAACCAAACAAGGCCUUCCAACAUAACCAACAUCCCGCCCCUAACACGGCCUCCUAACAUAACCACCACCCUGAACCAAACACGCCCUCUCAACAUAACCAACAUCCCGCCCCUAACACGGCCUCCAAACAUAACCACCACCCUGAACCAAACACGGCCUUCCAACAUAACCAACAUCCCGCCCCUAACACGGCCUCCUAACAUAACCACCACCCUGAACCAAACAGGGCCUUCCAACAUAACCAACAUCCCGCCCCUAACACGGCCUCCAAACAUAACCACCACCCUGAACCAAACAGGGCCUUCCAACAUAACCAACAUCCCGCCCCUAACACGGCCUCCAAACAUUACCACCCUGAACCAAACACGGCCUUCCAACAUAACCAACAUCCCGCCCCUAACACGGCCUCCAAACAUAACCACCACCCUGAACCAAACAUGGCCUUCCAACAUAACCAACAUCCCGCCCCUAACACGGCCUCCAAACAUAACCACCACCCUGAACCAAACAGGGCCUUCCAACAUAACCAACAUCCCGCCCCUAACACGGCCUCCAAACAUAACCACCACCCUGAACCAAACAGGGCCUUCCAACAUAACCAACAUCCCGCCCCUAACACGGCCUCCCAACAUAACCAACAACCUGAACCAAACAGGGCCUUCCAACAUAACCAACAUCCCGCCCCUAACACGGCCUCCAAACAUAACCACCACCCUGAACCAAACAGGGCCUUCCAACAUAACCAACAUCCCACCCCUAACACGGCCUCCAAACAUAACCACCACCCUGAACCAAACAGGGCCUUCCAACAUAACCAACAUCCCGCCCCUAACACGGCCUCCAAACAUAACCACCACCCUGAACCAAACACGGCCUUCCAACAUAACCAACAUCCCGCCCCUAACACGGCCUCCAAACAUAACCAACAACCUGAACCAAACAAUUUUUCCCAUCAUAACCACUAACUCAACCCAAACAAAGCCUCCCAACAUAACUAACUUGACCCAGGCACGGCCUUCCAACAUCACCACAAACCCAACCCAGUCAGGCCCCAUCACUGUAAUAAACAUUAUAACAAUGUCAAGUUCUAAUACUCAAUCAAUAGAAAUCACUGGCAGGGAUAACUGCAGGAGAGAUAGAGCAUGUUUCUCCGCUCCACCUUCCUGCAAUCCAGGUGCACAAGGUUCCUGCUAUUUCCUCUCCACAAGAGGAGUAAGCGGGAAUGCAAAUAAUUUUACUUUUGAGCUCAGUGGAGAGACAGAUGGUUACAUUGGAGCUGGCCUUUCUAGAGACACCAGUGGUCAGGGUGCCACCGUGUAUUCUUGCGCCAAUAUCAAUGGUGCACUGAAGUUGAUUCGUUCCACGCUGAACAAUCAAAUUCUGACUCAGGAUAACACAUUCAUCCCUGGAAGCUUCCGUGGCUCAGUGAUUGGCAAAAAGAUUCAAUGCAUUUUCAAUGCUGCAGGUCUCAGCAGCACAGCCCGUGCUGCAACCACAGAAACUUUUGUCUUCCUUUUAACAGGCAGUGUAUCAAAUGGUUCUCUUGAAUCUCCAGUCAGUAAACUAGCCACCAAUGGGUCAGUAGACUUAAGCAACCCUAACAGCACAGAUGUAUCAGUAAUAACCAGUACAAAUGCCACUGUAUCUAAUACCACAACAAUAUCAACAACUACCCCAUCUACGAACCUGACCCAGACGGUCCCUCCCAACAUGAAUGCCAAUGUGACCAAAAUGGGUCCGCUCAACACGACUAUGAACCUGACCCAGACGCGUCCUCCCAACGUCACCGCCAACAUGACCCAAAUGGGUCCCCUCAACACGACUGCGAACUUGACCCAGACGCGUCCUCCCAACAUUACUGCCAACAUGACCCAAAUGGGUCCCCUCAACACGACUGCAAACUUGACCCAGACGCGUCCUCCCAACAUUACUGCCAACAUGACCCAAAUGGGUCCCCUCAACACGACUGCGAACUUGACCCAGACGCGUCCUCCCAACACGACUGCCAACAUGACCCAAAUGGGUCCCCUCAACACGACUGCGAACUUGACCCAGACGCGUCCUCCCAACACGACUGCCAACAUGACCCAAAUGGGUCCCCUCAACACGACUGCGAACUUGACCCAGACGCGUCCUCCCAACAUAACCACAAACUUAACCCCAAAACCGUCAGGCUCUAAUACCUUGACCAACGGCAACACCAGUAAUCCACCAUUGGAAAUCACUGGCAGGGAUAACUGCAAGAGAGAUAGAGCAUGUUUCUCUGCUCCACCUUCCUGUAAUCCAGGGGAACGAGGAUCCUGCUAUUUCCUCUCCACAAGAGGAGUUAGUGGAAAUGCAGAUAAUUUAACUUUUGAGCUCAGUGGGGAGACAGAUGGUUACAUUGGAGCAGGCCUCUCUCGAGACAAAAGUGGUCAAGGAGCCACUGUCUAUUCUUGCGCCGCAGUCAAUAAUGAACUGAAGUUUUUCCGUUCCACACUCAACAAUCAAAUACUGACUCAGGAUGGCACAUUAAUUCCUGGAAGUUUCCGUGGUUCGAUGAUUGGAAAAAAGAUUCAGUGCAUUUUCACUGCUGCAGGUCUCAGUAGCACUGCCCGUGCUGCCACCACAGACAGUUUUGUCUUCUUUUUAACAGGAACCGUCUCAAAUGGUUCUCUGGAUUCUCCAGUGACUAGACUGGCCACCAAUGGGUCAGUGGACUUAAGCAACCCUAACAGCACAGAUGUUUCAGUAAUAACACCCAGUAUAAACACCACCACUACAUCCCCAAACACCACUGCAUCUAAUGUCACUGUAGCAUUAAACACCACUGCAUCUACUGCAUCCGGAGUAUCUACAGCUAAUAAUGGGACAACCAAUGAAAAGGUCACCAAAGACAACUGUAAGAAGGACAGGGCAUGUUUCUCUGCUCCAACUGACUGUGAUCCAUUCAGCUCAAGUAGCUGCUUCUUUGCCUCCACAAGAGGAGUGAACGGAAACUCUGACAAUCUCACUUUUGAGCUCAGUGGGGAUACACCUGGUUACAUUGCAGUUGGCUUGUCUCGAGACAAGAAGGGUGAUAGUGACACAGUCUAUUCUUGUGUCAACGACAAUGGUGUGGCGAGGUUCAUCCGUGCCACGCUGAAUAAUACCAUUCUGACUCCGGAUAAGUCUUUUAACCCCGGAUCCUUCCGUGGCUCUGUGAACGGCACUAGGAUUCAGUGCAUUUUUGUAGCUGCGGGUCUCAGCAGCACUGCCCGUGCGGCAAAUACAAGUGCUUUCCUCUAUAUCUUAACUGGCAACUAUACAAACGGCACCCUAGGGUCGCCAGUCACACGACUGUCUACAAAUUCACAGGUUGACCUAACCAACACUAACAGCUCAGAUGUCAUAACACCCACUACUGUGGUUUCUACUACAGCAAAACCUGCUACAACAGCAGGGAGCAAUGCACUGCAUCACGCUGCAUCUCAGGCUGCUCUGCUAAUUCUCUCAGGGAUCCUUGCAGUCUUCCUGUUGUAAGGAUACUGCCAACACAUCAUUUAAUUUCUGAAAUUGGGCAAUGAGCACUGAACGCUUGAUGAACCCAACACUGAAGUAGAUGUAACUGUGCAAUAUUGGGACUUUGAGAACAGUGAAGAAAAGAGCUGAAAAUGUUGGGAAGAGGGCAAUACACCAUUUUUGUGACCUGUGUGUAUGUGGGAGAGAGGUUGUGUUUGAGAGUGUUUUUGUGAGCAUUAGUGUUCAUAUUCUAAUAAUGUACUGCUAGGUUCCUUCACAGAGAGGGCCGAUAAAAAAAUUAAUAAAACAAUAAAAUGAAAUGGUCUAUUUAAUUUAAUUGUGCCAGUAUGAUGCCACCAAGUGGCUGAAAUUAUUAAAGAUUAUUCUUUUUAAAUGUCUUAAUUUAUAUUUGCAACUGUUGCCUCAAAACUACUGUUCCCUGUAAGUUUUAAAGUCACAUGUAUAUUUUUAUUUGAAGAAAAAGAAUAUGUAAUAAAAUGUUCAUGUAAACAAUGAAACUCCCAGAUCUGUGUCUCUCUCUCUCUCUGUCUGUGUGUAUUUUCACCAGUAUAAAUAAAGGUUUAAGGCAAGCAUAGACCAAAGCUAAAUGCAAACAGUAUGUAAAGUUAGGAGAGUGAAAGGAGAGUGCAUUGGAGAACUUUGUUGAUGUCAAAUGGUUGCAAAUUCAAACAAGCAGGGGUAUGUUUCCCAAAAGCAACCAUGGAUGCAAGUUCCUUCAUUACGAAUAGAGCUCAGUGGAACUUUCAAACAUAGGUGACACUAUAUGUAGUGCAAGUGACAGAACUUGAUAUUGUCAAUGCUUUUGAAGCAGAGGCUCCUCUGUUACUGCUACACUGCUAGCAAUUGAUGUCAUUUUACAAUAUAUUUUACAACAAUACACUGUAUUCAUGGUUUUUAUUGUAAAUGCAAAUGCAUGAUGGGAAAUUGAUGGACAGUCCUGUAAUAUUAUUGUAACUACACUGUAGAAGCAUUAUUUUACAGACACCACAAAGCAUUGUGGGAUAGCAUUAAAACUGUUACUUUCAAAUUCUUUCUAACAUAAAAAGUCCAGUUUUCUUAACAUUAAAAUAAACUUUUUAAAAGGUAUGAUGUUUCUCAAACAUUCUUUCAACUUAAUUUUGAUUUAAAAAUUCAACAUUCUAGGAACGUUGAUUUGUAACAUUCCAAGAACAUAAAAAGGUCCAGUUUCCAUAUUAGUAUAAUGUUACUUUAAGGUUAGUAAAAUGUUCCUGCAACAUUCUCUCAGUCAUUCAAACACCUGCUGUGAUCAAGCAAGAAAAAAAGAGAAAUAAGAACACAAACUGCAACUUUCUUCAGGCACAGUCUUAGGUGAACUGAAGAUACAAGACUUUAAAUCUCUCAAGAUCUGAAUAAACAACUCCACAAACAGCGUUACCAACUUCACUUGUAGUAAUACUAACCAGAAUGAUUUUAUUUCUGUCAUGCAUCUACAGAAGUUCUUAUUGAGUAUUCACAGAAGUUAAGAUGUUGAUGUCUUAAUUAAAAUGUUUUUUUGAGAUCACCAUCAUAGAGAUCAGGGUUUGCUUCAGUUGUGCUCUUGACCCUCAACUUUUGCUGCAAUCCUUUUUUCUGCAGAUGUUUUCAGAAAACAUUACUGCAUAUAUAAAGCAGAUCAACAAGUCUGUUUUAAUAACAACCAACUGACUGCACUAAAAUGGUUUAAAUGACCCAACUGAUAUAAAAAUCAAUCAUUUGAAACACUUGUGGUUGGUACACUGAUGUUUAACAGUGAAUAAAUAUUGUUUUUGCUAACCUUUUGUUAAAAACAUGUUUUAGAUUAUUUAUACACUCACACACAUCAACAUUUGGCAUACUAAACACAACAAUUGUGACAUGUUUCA
RNAcentral lists this long non-coding RNA (5921 nucleotides) under Carassius auratus (goldfish). RNAcentral describes it as "lncRNA (ENSCARG00000026630.1)". Lineage: Eukaryota; Metazoa; Chordata; Actinopteri; Cypriniformes; Cyprinidae. The record is from RNAcentral.